RNAcentral lists this unclassified non-coding RNA (417 nucleotides) under uncultured Sebacina. RNAcentral's name for it is "sequence contains ITS2". The stretch from base 1 to 154 matches the Rfam family "5.8S ribosomal RNA". The record is from RNAcentral. Lineage: Eukaryota; Fungi; Basidiomycota; Agaricomycetes; Sebacinales; Sebacinaceae.
AACUUUUGACAACGGAUCACUUGGCUCUCGCAUCGAUGAAGAACGCAGCGAAAUGCGAUAAGUAAUGUGAAUUGCAGAAUUCAGUGAAUCACCGAAUCUUUGAACGCACCUUGCACCCUUUGGCAUUCCGAAGGGUAUGCUCGUUUGAGUGUCAUUGUACUCUCACACUCCCGAUGCUUUUGGAUUGGGAGUGGUGGACUUGGGUGUUGCUGCUUUACUGUGGCUCACCUCAAAUGGAGUAGUGCAACUCUUGGUUGGACAUAGUACGGCGUGAUAAGUGUCUUCGCCGGCGCCUCAUUAGAGGGUGGCCGAUCGGGAGCUCUGUGCUUCAAACCGUCUUCGGACAACAUCUGACAACUUGACCUCAAAUCGAGUAGGACUACCCGCUGAACUUAAGCAUAUCAAUAAGCGGAGGCU